CAGCCGCCGCGGUAAUACGAAGGGGGCUAGCGUUGCUCGGAAUGACUGGGCGUAAAGGGCGCGUAGGCGGCUGACACAGUCAGAUGUGAAAUUCCUGGGCUCAACCUGGGGACUGCAUUUGAGACGUGUUGGCUUGAGUGGAGAAGAGGGUCGUGGAAUUUCCAGUGUAGAGGUGAAAUUCGUAGAUAUUGGAAAGAACACCGGUGGCGAAGGCGGCGACCUGGUCUUUAACUGACGCUGAGGCGCGAAAGCAUGGGGAGCGAACAGGAUUAGAGACCCCAGUAGUCCCUGUCUCUUAUAC
This 301-nucleotide ribosomal RNA is filed under the name uncultured bacterium. RNAcentral's name for it is "partial 16S ribosomal RNA". It matches the Rfam family "Bacterial small subunit ribosomal RNA", at positions 509 to 807 of the family's 1533-position model. The record is from RNAcentral.